Molecule: long non-coding RNA, 2756 nt
Organism: Gadus macrocephalus (Pacific cod)
Lineage: Eukaryota; Metazoa; Chordata; Actinopteri; Gadiformes; Gadidae
Exons: 2
Source: RefSeq, a predicted model, not a curated record
UUCAUAGUUGAUCAUUAUUACACACACACACACACGCACACGCACGCACACACACACACACACACACAAACCUGGAGAAUCUGAUUUUGUCGUUGGGAACAACAUUCCAAGCUAUCAGAACAGGUUGGUGGUGACUCUAUUUCAACCAGUAACCAAAAAGGAACUCUUAUUCCCAGUCCUCAAGUGGAAUUCAACGAAACAGGUCUGACACUUGUUAUUUGUUUGCUGGUACUUUAAGGAGGAAGAUAAUUAGGUACUCAACCAUCGAGGGCAGUUGUAGUGUGACAAUUGAGAGCUAAUUCACAAACAAAUGUUCGUCAAGAAAGCAUUAUUUCUGUAUUAAUGUAAGCCUUUUGGUUAUAAUGAAAAUAAAGGCAAAACAAUGGUUUCUUAUUCUGCAGGCUAGGCAAUAGGAAUUUAACAGAAUUAAAGUUAGAUGUAAGUGUUCUCUGUUCUGUGGGUUCACAAAACACUUUCUCUCACCUGAGAUGACUCACAAUGUCACACCACAUGUCACAAGCAAUAUGGCCUGUCGGCACUCGAACACGUGCACGCACACGGAAGCACACACAAGGACACAGUCACACACACACACUGAUGCAACACUUUGUGGCCAAAGUAGCAGGCAUCUUACAGACUGCAGUUCAGCUUGCUAGAAACACAAAUAGAGUUCCGUAAUAGAAAUGGCAGGGUUUCUGGUGAGAGUUGACAACUCACCAUCCAGUAGUCUAGGACUAUACUUCUUAUGGUAGAAGGAAGUGUUUUCAGCAUUGGAUGUUUUACAGUUGAAUUUGAAGGUGCUUUGUCUAUCUUGAUAUUCAAGUUUGCCAAGAUUCCAAAGAAAGGAAUCAAACAUGUUGUACUGAUUUGUUUAUCCAUCUUCAUCCAUGAUACAUAGUCAGAUAACUCCACUUUACAAAACAGUAAUUUUAGGGUCUGUAAUACACAUCCGUCUUUGACAUGGUAACAUUGUUACUAAUCUCACAAAUUAUAUUUUUUAUUAAUUAGCUAAAGUCUGAUGGCAGACAGGCUUAACUCUGGACAAAUGGGGCGUUUAACUCUCUUUGUUUCGAACAAUCAUGUGGCUCGAGGAAGGACUACUACUUUUUUUGGCCAAAAGUAGUAGUAAACUGUACUAGCCACUGCAUGAAUACAGUCAUUCACUCACAAUCCCCUUCCAACAACCUCCUCCUCUACGGAGUGAUGUUCUCUUCAUUAUGAAUCUCCAUACCGCAACAGGAAACAAGGCUUUACUCCGCCCUUUCAGUUUCUGAUUUCCGGCUCGAGUUCCGUUAUGUCUGGUGGAGAUUUCACCAAAAACGAACCAAACAAUGGAUACUGCGAAUCGAGAGGUAGAAACAUUUCCUGUUGCAGGUCAGUUCUACCUAAACUGGGCCACCCACAAAUCCUAUUCUUGGAAACUGGCAUGUGUGGGUUUCCGUUAGCUGGGACAGAUUAAGCAAAUCAUGUAAAACAUCUGAUAACUCAAAGAAAGAAGGAGCAAAAGCGCUAAAGAAAGAAUGAGUGAAAGAGCUAAAGAAGGAGCUAAAGAAAGAAUGAGUGAAAGAGCUAAAGAAGGAGCUAAAGAAAGGUGGAGCGAAAGAGCUAAGGAAAGAAGGAGCAACAAAGAGAGCGAAAUAAAGAUGAAAUGAAAGAGCAAAUAAAGAAAGAAAGAAAAAUAGCAAAAAAAUAAAGAAUGAAAGUAAGAUUGAAAGAAGGGACAAAGGAAGCAAGAAAGAUCAAAAGACAGAUCAUAAGAAUGAAAGAUCUAAGGGAAAGAGCGAAAGAACGAAAGAACGAAAGAUAGCGAAAGUAAGAAAACAAAAGACAAAUGGAAAGAAAGAGCAAAAGAAGCAAAGAAUGAAAGAAUGCCCCCCCCCCCCCCAACGGAAGCUAGUGGCUUUACUGGGCAGCUCCCAGGGUCCAUCUUCUUCAGUGGUGCUGACACAAGUGGUGCAGCCCUGCACUAGAGCAGCCUGACCCCCCCUCCGCCCCCAGGACGGGCUCUGUAUUCAGUCGAUCUCAUAUCGGAGCAUCUUACCUGUUGAUGUCAUGACUUGGCUCGCUUGUUAUUACAUGUGGGUGGACGGAAAUUCCCCUACGUAGCCAGGAGUGCUGGGGUGGGGGAAUUAAAGACAGUGUGCACGCCUGUCUGUGCGCGCGCUAUAAAGAGGUCUUUGUUUUGUGAGGUCACAGUAUGUGUCAACCGUUGAUUGUGUCAUGUCCACCUUACUGUACCCGUUUGUCUUCAGGAAUAACAUAAUCCUUGGGUUAUCUAACAUGUUCAUUUUUCUCGUUUGCGUCCACAUUUUUUGGGGUCUAAGGGCAAAUUUGGGGUAGGGCUCUGGUUAUUUUAAUCUGUUUAAUUGGAACAGGAAUUUACAGUCUUUGUUAUGUGACAAUGUGUUGAUCAAUGAUGGGGGCAGAGGCUUUCCCAGAAUAACAAACAUCCCCCUUACAUACAUCAUUAUUUAAGGAGAGACAAAUAGAGAUUGGGAGCAGGAGAAACAGAACAACAGAGAGAAAGAGAGUAAAAAUAGUGUUAUCCGAAAAUAAUAAACAGAGAGAGAGGGGGGAUAUUUUGGACAAAAGCUUGUCCUCUCGAACCAAGGGUGAGAGAGAGAGAGAGAGAGAGAGAGAGAGAGAGAGAGAGAGAGAGAGAGAGAGAGAGAGAGAGAGAGAGAGAGAGAGAGAGAGAGACAGAGAGAGACAGAGAGACACAGACAGAGAAAGACAGAGAAAGACAGAGACAAAAA